UGGCCGGUAGCUCAACGGUAGAGCGGUGCAAUGUUAAUGCCCUCGUUGCAGGUUCGAUUCCUGCCCGGCCAG
Molecule: transfer RNA, 72 nt
Filed under: Planctomycetota bacterium
Lineage: Bacteria; Pseudomonadati; Planctomycetota
Also listed under: 1 other name
Description: tRNA-Asn
Rfam family: tRNA
About the family: Transfer RNA (tRNA) molecules are approximately 80 nucleotides in length. Their secondary structure includes four short double-helical elements and three loops (D, anti-codon, and T loops).
Source: RNAcentral